This is a long non-coding RNA of Raphanus sativus (radish), 386 nucleotides long. RefSeq lists it as uncharacterized. NCBI's taxonomy places the organism in Eukaryota, Viridiplantae, Streptophyta, Magnoliopsida, Brassicales, Brassicaceae. The transcript is spliced from 2 exons. The record is from RefSeq and is a predicted model, not a curated record.
AUUUACCCCUAGGACCUCGUGGUAAACCUACGUAGCCAAAUGAAGUGAAGAAUCAUGUGAAACGCAUCGAACCUCUUAGGUGGGAUUGGAUUCAUUGAGCUUGAAAUGUCUCCUCACGUACCGCAAACUAUGUUUAGGAGGAGAUCUAUGAUUGAAUCAUGGCAAAAGAUACUCUCAACUUGACUACCUCCAAGAUAAAGGAAAGACGCAUCUCUGCCAAUACUCGGAUUCUGACAAAACUUACCUCUUUCUAUUAAUUGAUUCCCCGACGUAAUAUUAUUUUGCUCGGUUUGUUUAUUAAAUUUUUUAAUUCAUGUUGUGGUGUGCUCCACUCAUCAGCCAGCUGUCCCUUUCGCAAAUAAUCACACCCUCAAUCGCUUCAGGAA